This 433-nucleotide ribosomal RNA is filed under the name uncultured bacterium. RNAcentral describes it as "partial 16S ribosomal RNA". It matches the Rfam family "Bacterial small subunit ribosomal RNA", at positions 29 to 507 of the family's 1533-position model. The record is from RNAcentral.
AACGAACGCUGGCGGCAUGCCUAACACAUGCAAGUCGAACGAGACCUUCGGGUCUAGUGGCGCACGGGUGCGUAACGCGUGGGAACCUGCCCUUAGGUUCGGAAUAACUCCCCGAAAGGGGUGCUAAUACCGGAUAAUGUCUUCGGACCAAAGAUUUAUCGCCUUUGGAUGGGCCCGCGUUGGAUUAGCUAGUUGGUAGGGUAAAAGCCUACCAAGGCGACGAUCCAUAGCUGGUCUGAGAGGAUGAUCAGCCACACUGGGACUGAGACACGGCCCAGACUCCUACGGGAGGCAGCAGUGGGGAAUAUUGGACAAGGGGCGAAAGCCUGAUCCAGCAAUGCCGCGUGAGUGAUGAAGGCCUUAGGGUUGUAAAGCUCUUUUACCCGGGAUGAUAAUGACAGUACCGGGAGAAUAAGCUCCGGCUAACUCCGUU